RNAcentral lists this ribosomal RNA (490 nucleotides) under uncultured fungus. RNAcentral describes it as "eukaryotic LSU rRNA". The stretch from base 152 to 305 matches the Rfam family "5.8S ribosomal RNA". Lineage: Eukaryota; Fungi. The record is from RNAcentral.
GAUCAGGUACCCAUGUUUAUUGUACCUUGUUGCUUCGGCGGGCCCGCCUCACGGCCGCCGGGGGGCUUCUGCCCUCUGGCCCGCGCCCGCCGAAGACACCAUUGAACACUGUCUGAAGAUUGCAGUCUGAGCAAUUAGCUAAAUAAGUUAAAACUUUCAACAACGGAUCUCUUGGUUCCGGCAUCGAUGAAGAACGCAGCGAAAUGCGAUACGUAAUGUGAAUUGCAGAAUUCAGUGAAUCAUCGAGUCUUUGAACGCACAUUGCGCCCCUUGGUAUUCCGGGGGGCAUGCCUGUCCGAGCGUCAUUGCUGCCCUCAAGCACGGCUUGUGUGUUGGGCCCCGUCCUCCUUCCCGGGGGACGGGCCCGAAAGGCAGCGGCGGCACCGCGUCCGGUCCUCGAGCGUAUGGGGCUUUGUCACCCGCUCUUGUAGGCCCGGCCGGCGCUUGCCGACAACCAUCAAUCUUUUUUCAGGUUGACCUCGGAUCAGGU